GACCUUUGAGAUUACUGCUCAGUAACACGUGGAUAACCUACCCUUAGGACUGGGAUAACCUUGGGAAACUGAGGAUAAUACCGGAUAGGCAAUUUUUCCUGUAAUGGUUUUUUGUUUAAAUGUUUUUUUCGCCUAAGGAUGGGUCUGCGGCCGAUUAGGUAGUUGGUUAGGUAAUGGCUUACCAAGCCGUUGAUCGGUACGGGUUGUGAGAGCAAGAGCCCGGAGAUGGAACCUGAGACAAGGUUCCAGGCCCUACGGGGUGCAGCAGGCGCGAAACCUCCGCAAUGUGAGAAAUCGCGACGGGGGGAUCCCAAGUGCCAUUCUUAACGGGAUGGCUUUUCAUUAGUGUAAAGAGCUUUUGGAAUAAGAGCUGGGCAAGACCGGUGCCAGCCGCCGCGGUAACACCGGCAGCUCUAGUGGUAACAAUUUUUAUUGGGCCUAAAGCGUCCGUAGCCGGUUUAAUAAGUCUCUGGUGAAAUCCUGUAGCUUAACUGUGGGAAUUGCUGGAGAUACUAUUAGACUUGAGACCGGGAGAGGUUAGAGGUACUCCCAGGGUAGAGGUGAAAUUCUGUAAUCCUGGGAGGACCGCCUGUUGCGAAGGCGUCUAACUGGAACGGUUCUGACGGUGAGGGACGAAAGUUAGGGGCGCGAACCGGAUUAGAUACCCGGGUAGUCCUAACUGUAAACGAUGCGGACUUGGUGUUGGGGUGGCUUUGAGCUGCUCCAGUGCCGAAGGGAAGCUGUUAAGUCCGCCGCCUGGGAAGUACGGUCGCAAGACUGAAACUUAAAGGAAUUGGCGGGGGAGCACAAU
RNAcentral lists this ribosomal RNA (811 nucleotides) under uncultured archaeon. Its description in RNAcentral is "bacterial SSU rRNA". It matches the Rfam family "Archaeal small subunit ribosomal RNA", at positions 72 to 882 of the family's 1478-position model. The record is from RNAcentral.